UAUCACACUCUAUAGGAAUAAUCAACGAGCACGUCCAGAUGACUACAUAAACAUAUACCUGGAAACCAGUAGCCAUCAUUACAAUCCACUGCUGAAAUGGUCGUACAUCUACUGUUGUACGGCCUGCAGAACCCUUACCAUAAUAUGCACUAUGUAUUACACCUAUAUUCCCUCUCAGUAAGGUAGAUAUCCAUAUUGCUCUUCACAAUCUCUACUACCCAAUCUGGGACGCCAUCUUCUCCAACACUGCCUCUGCAUUAAUUCAUGGAAUGACAUGAGCACGUAAGUAUACCGAGUAGAAGAGUAAACUCAUCAAAGAAACUCAAAGUAAUGAUACAACUUUCUGCAAGAUACUUCUGUUCCUGAGAGGUGUAUGCACUAGGCUAGCCUGAAUCUAUGAUACUUGCAUAUUUUUGAAAGAAAUGUGCUAGGCUACACUGAAUCUGUGAUACUAACUUUCCUGAAAUAUAUGUGCUAGGCUAGACCGAAUCUGUGCCAAAUUACUAUCACUAGACGAACUAGAAAGACACAUACAACGAUGAUUUGCGCUAAAUAAAUUGCGUGCCCAACUAAUUUAAUUUUCAAAUUGCUAAUUGACUGGGAACAACAAGCAGCCAAGCAGAAAUCAUUCAUGAGCAUUGGGUAGAAAGCAGCAGCAGCGCUAGUAUUCAAUGAAGUGAGCAGCUAAACACAAGAUCUGCAAGCCACCCACAGCAGACUCAUUGUAAACCUGGGGAGAGCUCGCAAAAACUGCGUACAAUACACCUAGUAAAUAUCCACGAGAUGCCACAAAAGCAUGCACCCACGGUUUGAUGUUCCAAGAGAUGUCACAGUAUUCAGUCAGCUAUCUUCAGGUAAUGACAAUGUCCACCGCAGGCCUUUCGGGCUUUUGGCAUUAUCCAAUCUGGUCCUGCUUAACACGGAGAAGUACUAGUGUUAUUAACAGAACAAUAAGUUGAGAAAUGCGUAGCUAGCUAAUGCGUGUGAAUCCUAGUUCUAAGCUGUCUGUCAGUGGACAGUCUGGCCAGGUGAAGUGCAUGCCUGGUUGUACGUACCCUAAUCGUGAAUGGCAUGCAGAACCUAGAAACAGAUUUCCACUGGGCGUCGAGAUAGCAACGACUGUGUAUCCUACGGCCUAAAUUAACAGCCAAUAUACAAAAGGGUCAUUGUAAUUGUUGAACAUAAUGUGCAUGUGUUCAGCAGGAUUCAAAUCAUGUGUUCGUGGUUAGAUAAUCAUACGCCUGUUUACAGAACAUGACAUCUUACAAGUGCAGGAUGAACACAAUCUAAUUCAUCAGUAUACGCACUUGUUUACAAAACAUGACAUCUUUAAAAUUUAUAGAGUAAUUCCACUUGAUCCAGUGCAUACAAUAUAUUGUGAUGCGGUCCACUAAGUUCACACCUCACAGCACAAGAAGCUAGUACAUAGUAGCAGAAUACACACCCCAAAGUACCACUUACUCUCCAAAUCACAAAGCAAUAACAUGCAAAUCUUGAGCAGUUCAACUACACAAGCCGGCAACUCAACGGAUGAAAACAAAAUCACAGAGAUGAAGACAUGAGAGGAUGAUGAGUUUGAGGUUACCUGCCGUCCGGAGGAGAGGAUGCUGGGGAGAGCCAUCGCCGGUCUAGUCCAGGCGGCGGAGGUGGUGUCGAGUCCAGCGGCAGUGACGGCAUUGAGCCCAUGCGGCGGCGGCGGCAGUGGCUGAGAUCUAGGAAAGGGCGGCGCGUCGUUCGCUGCUGCUGGAAGCACCUUCGUUCGUGCGACCCCCUGGUAGGUUUUCUAUAUGGGUCGAGGCUGUUUAUAGGCCCAGCCGUAUCCCUAGC
RNAcentral lists this long non-coding RNA (1827 nucleotides) under Triticum aestivum (bread wheat). RNAcentral's name for it is "long non-coding RNA (TAES_LNC024701)". Lineage: Eukaryota; Viridiplantae; Streptophyta; Magnoliopsida; Poales; Poaceae. The record is from RNAcentral.